UGCUCGCUGGCCUGUCUUGUCGUUGUAGUCGUUGCUGCACCACGCCUCGCUUCGCCCGAUUGCCGGAGUCGCAUUCCGGCCGCACAGCCACGCCAUGCCCGAGCCUUAGCAGGAGCUCGUGCUCGAGACCCUCGUAGAAGCAUGCAUAGGUGGUAGUAGCAGCGGGGAUGGGUUCCCCUCGGUGCCUGCAACCCCUGCUGGUGGUCGGUCACCGACAUCAUUGUCGCCGUUGCCGCCGCCGCCGUUGCCAUCGCCCCUGUGCAGGUGAGGUGGAGCCGACGCCUUUGCUGGUAUAAGAGCAUCUCCACUAGAAC
RNAcentral lists this long non-coding RNA (314 nucleotides) under Hordeum vulgare. RNAcentral's name for it is "long non-coding RNA (HVUL_LNC018861)". The record is from RNAcentral. Lineage: Eukaryota; Viridiplantae; Streptophyta; Magnoliopsida; Poales; Poaceae.